RNAcentral lists this ribosomal RNA (1424 nucleotides) under uncultured Chromohalobacter sp. Its description in RNAcentral is "bacterial SSU rRNA". It matches the Rfam family "Bacterial small subunit ribosomal RNA". The record is from RNAcentral. Lineage: Bacteria; Pseudomonadati; Pseudomonadota; Gammaproteobacteria; Oceanospirillales; Halomonadaceae.
AGAGUUUGAUCCUGGCUCAGAGUGAACGCUGGCGGUAGGCCUAACACAUGCAAGUCGAACGGCAGCACAGUAGGAGCUUGCUCUUACGGGUGGCGAGUGGCGGACGGGUGAGGAAUACAUCGGAAUCUACCUUUUGGUGGGGGAUAACGUAGGGAAACUUACGCUAAUACCGCAUACGCCCUUCGGGGGAAAGCCGGGGACCAGCAAUGGCCUGGCGCUGAUAGAUGAGCCGAUGUCGGAUUAGCUAGUUGGUGAGGUAAUGGCUCACCAAGGCGACGAUCCGUAGCUGGUCUGAGAGGAUGAUCAGCCACACUGGAACUGAGACACGGUCCAGACUCCUACGGGAGGCAGCAGUGGGGAAUAUUGGACAAUGGGCGCAAGCCUGAUCCAGCCAUACCGCGUGGGUGAAGAAGGCCUUCGGGUUGUAAAGCCCUUUUGUUGGGAAAGAAAAGCAUUCGGUUAAUACCCGGGUGUUCUGACGGUACCCAAAGAAUAAGCACCGGCUAACUUCGUGCCAGCAGCCGCGGUAAUACGAAGGGUGCAAGCGUUACUCGGAAUUACUGGGCGUAAAGCGUGCGUAGGCGGCGUGUCACGCCGGGUGUGAAAGCCCCGGGCUCAACCUGGGAACGGCAUCCGGAACGGGCAGGCUAGAGUGCAGGAGAGGAAGGUAGAAUUCCCGGUGUAGCGGUGAAAUGCGUAGAGAUCGGGAAGGAAUACCAGUGGUGAAGGCGGCCUUCUGGACUGACACUGACGCUGAGGUGCGAAAGCGUGGGUAGCAAACAGGAUUAGAUACCCUGGUAGUCCACGCCGUAAACGAUGUCGACUAGCCGUUGGGUCCCUUGAGGACUUAGUGGCGCAGUUAACGCGAUAAGUCGACCGCCUGGGGAGUACGGCCGCAAGGUUAAAACUCAAAUGAAUUGACGGGGGCCCGCACAAGCGGUGGAGCAUGUGGUUUAAUUCGAUGCAACGCGAAGAACCUUACCUACCCUUGACAUCCUGCGAACCCGGAAGAGAUUCCGGGGUGCCUUCGGGAGCGCAGAGACAGGUGCUGCAUGGCUGUCGUCAGCUCGUGUUGUGAAAUGUUGGGUUAAGUCCCGUAACGAGCGCAACCCUUGUCCCUAUUUGCCAGCGAUUCGGUCGGGAACUCUAGGGAGACUGCCGGUGACAAACCGGAGGAAGGUGGGGACGACGUCAAGUCAUCAUGGCCCUUACGGGUAGGGCUACACACGUGCUACAAUGGCCGGUACAAAGGGUUGCGAAGCCGCGAGGUGAAGCCAAUCCCAGAAAGCCGGCCUCAGUCCGGAUUGGAGUCUGCAACUCGACUCCAUGAAGUCGGAAUCGCUAGUAAUCGUGCAUCAGAAUGGCACGGUGAAUACGUUCCCGGGCCUUGUACACACCGCCCGUCACACCAUGGGAGUGGACUG